UUAAGCGACUAAGCGUACACGGUGGAUGCCCUGGCAGUCAGAGGCGAUGAAGGGCGUGCUAAUCUGCGAUAAGCGCCGGUAAGGUGAUAUGAACCGUUAUAACCGGCGAUACCCGAAUGGGGAAACCCAGUGUGACUCGUCACACUAUCAUUAACUGAAUCCAUAGGUUAAUGAGGCGAACCGGGGGAACUGAAACAUCUAAGUACCCCGAGGAAAAGAAAUCAACCGAGAUUCCCCCAGUAGCGGCGAGCGAACGGGGAGGAGCCCAGAGCCUGAAUCAGCAUGUGUGUUAGUGGAAGCGUCUGGAAAGGCGCGCGAUACAGGGUGACAGCCCCGUACACAAAAGCGCAUGUGCUGUGAGCUCGAUGAGUAGGGCGGGACACGUGGUAUCCUGUCUGAAUAUGGGGGGACCAUCCUCCAAGGCUAAAUACUCCUGACUGACCGAUAGUGAACCAGUACCGUGAGGGAAAGGCGAAAAGAACCCCGGCGAGGGGAGUGAAAAAGAACCUGAAACCGUGUACGUACAAGCAGUGGGAGCCCCACCACCAAAGCAUUCUCUGGUGUUGAAGGCCCUGCAAAGCAGCAUCGCGGUGGCGGAGCGUCGUUUGCGACGCCCAACACACAAAACAAGCGGUGAGUGCUUUGGGGUGGGGUGACUGCGUACCUUUUGUAUAAUGGGUCAGCGACUUAUAUUCUGUAGCAAGGUUAACCGUAUAGGGGAGCCGGAGGGAAACCGAGUCUUAACCGGGCGUUAAGUUGCAGGGUAUAGACCCGAAACCCGGUGAUCUAGCCAUGGGCAGGUGAAGGUUGGGUAACACUAACUGGAGGACCGAACCGACUAAUGUUGAAAAAUUAGCGGAUGACCUGUGGCUGGGGGGUGAAAGGCCAAUCAAACCGGGAGAUAGCUGGUUCUCCCCGAAAGCUAUUUAGGUAGCGCCUCGUGAACUCAUCUCCGGGGGGUAGAGCACUGUUUCGGCUAGGGGGCCAUCCCGGCUUACCAACCCGAUGCAAACUGCGAAUACCGGAGAAUGUUAUCACGGGAGACACACGGCGGGGUGCUAACGUCCGUCGUGAAGAGGGAAACAACCCAGACCGCCAGCUAAGGUCCCCAAAGUCAUGGUUAAGUGGGAAACGAUGUGGGAAGGCCCAGACAGCCAGGAUGUUGGCUUAGAAGCAGCCAUCAUUUAAAGAAAGCGUAAUAGCUCACUGGUCGAGUCGGCCUGCGCGGAAGAUGUAACGGGGCUAAACCAUGCACCGAAGCUGCGGCAGCGACACUCAGGUGUUGUUGGGUAGGGGAGCGUUCUGUAAGCCUGCGAAGGUGGCCUGUGAGGGUUGCUGGAGGUAUCAGAAGUGCGAAUGCUGACAUAAGUAACGAUAAAGCGGGUGAAAAGCCCGCUCGCCGGAAGACCAAGGGUUCCUGUCCAACGUUAAUCGGGGCAGGGUGAGUCGACCCCUAAGGCGAGGCCGAAAGGCGUAGUCGAUGGGAAACGGGUUAAUAUUCCCGUACUUGGUGUUACUGCGAAGGGGGGACGGAGAAGGCUAUGUUGGCCGGGCGACGGUUGUCCCGGUUUAAGCGUGUAGGCUGGUUUUCCAGGCAAAUCCGGAAAAUCAAGGCUGAGGCGUGAUGACGAGGCACUACGGUGCUGAAGCAACAAAUGCCCUGCUUCCAGGAAAAGCCUCUAAGCAUCAGGUAACAUCAAAUCGUACCCCAAACCGACACAGGUGGUCAGGUAGAGAAUACCAAGGCGCUUGAGAGAACUCGGGUGAAGGAACUAGGCAAAAUGGUGCCGUAACUUCGGGAGAAGGCACGCUGACACGUAGGUGAAGUGAUUUACUCAUGGAGCUGAAGUCAGUCGAAGAUACCAGCUGGCUGCAACUGUUUAUUAAAACACAGCACUGUGCAAACACGAAAGUGGACGUAUACGGUGUGACGCCUGCCCGGUGCCGGAAGGUUAAUUGAUGGGGUCAGCGCAAGCGAAGCUCCUGAUCGAAGCCCCGGUAAACGGCGGCCGUAACUAUAACGGUCCUAAGGUAGCGAAAUUCCUUGUCGGGUAAGUUCCGACCUGCACGAAUGGCGUAAUGAUGGCCAGGCUGUCUCCACCCGAGACUCAGUGAAAUUGAACUCGCUGUGAAGAUGCAGUGUACCCGCGGCAAGACGGAAAGACCCCGUGAACCUUUACUAUAGCUUGACACUGAACAUUGAGCCUUGAUGUGUAGGAUAGGUGGGAGGCUUUGAAGUGUGGACGCCAGUCUGCAUGGAGCCGACCUUGAAAUACCACCCUUUAAUGUUUGAUGUUCUAACGUGGACCCGUAAUCCGGGUUGCGGACAGUGUCUGGUGGGUAGUUUGACUGGGGCGGUCUCCUCCUAAAAGAGUAACGGAGGAGCACGAAGGUUGGCUAAUCCUGGUCGGACAUCAGGAGGUUAGUGCAAUGGCAUAAGCCAGCUUGACUGCGAGCGUGACGGCGCGAGCAGGUGCGAAAGCAGGUCAUAGUGAUCCGGUGGUUCUGAAUGGAAGGGCCAUCGCUCAACGGAUAAAAGGUACUCCGGGGAUAACAGGCUGAUACCGCCCAAGAGUUCAUAUCGACGGCGGUGUUUGGCACCUCGAUGUCGGCUCAUCACAUCCUGGGGCUGAAGUAGGUCCCAAGGGUAUGGCUGUUCGCCAUUUAAAGUGGUACGCGAGCUGGGUUUAGAACGUCGUGAGACAGUUCGGUCCCUAUCUGCCGUGGGCGCUGGAGAACUGAGGGGGGCUGCUCCUAGUACGAGAGGACCGGAGUGAACGCAUCACUGGUGUUCGGGUUGUCAUGCCAAUGGCACUGCCCGGUAGCUAAAUGCGGAAGAGAUAAGUGCUGAAAGCAUCUAAGCACGAAACUUGCCCCGAGAUGAGUUCUCCCUGAGACUUAAAGUCUCCUGAAGGAACGUUGAAGACGACGACGUUGAUAGGCCGGGUGUGUAAGCGCAGCGAUGCGUUGAGCUAACCGGUACUAAUGAACCGUGAGGCUUAACCUU
This 3007-nucleotide ribosomal RNA is filed under the name Salmonella enterica subsp. enterica. RNAcentral's name for it is "bacterial LSU rRNA". It matches the Rfam family "Bacterial large subunit ribosomal RNA". Lineage: Bacteria; Pseudomonadati; Pseudomonadota; Gammaproteobacteria; Enterobacterales; Enterobacteriaceae. The record is from RNAcentral.